Molecule: long non-coding RNA, 1466 nt
Organism: Neodiprion fabricii
Lineage: Eukaryota; Metazoa; Arthropoda; Insecta; Hymenoptera; Diprionidae
Exons: 2
Source: RefSeq, a predicted model, not a curated record
UUAUCUUCCGUCCUUUGGAGAACCGAUUCAAAUCCGUUUACGGGAUGCUUACGCCGUUGCUUACGCUCCUAACGCGUCAUUUACAGGAAUAUUCGAGAUAUCUCUAUGGUCUCAACGACUGGGUGAAAACACCACGUAAGCUACGCGCAAAGCGAUCAAAUGUUUAGAGGAUUACCGCAACAUGCGACGUCAGGCGAAGUUUGAAUUCUCCUACCACUUACGAUGUACAUCCUCGGUCAAGCAUCACGGAAGCAGUGGACAAUGCAGAGCAUAUUUACCAUAGCAAGGUGCCAGUGUAGUGCUCGAAAUUGAACAAAUCACAAACUUUCGCAUGAAUAAGAAGUUGGUGAACCUUGCAAUAGGAGAUUCAGAUGGAUUGAGACUGACCGGGUAUACGUUCAGUCUUACAAACCGGGCGUACAACAGACAAACCAUAGACGGUAGAAGAGAUGAGCAGUUCAUGCUCUACGUCAUCUACGUUUACGGCUAUUAUAAUUCUUCUCGGUGAAAUAGACCUACUGGGGAUGCCACGUUAAAAAAUACUGGGCGGACAUAUAUACAGGGUGAGUUUUUUAUCUUGAGACAUCAAAAUAUCUCAAGAAAUACGCAUUGUACAAAGAAAUGUUCGAGACUAAAACUGUUUGAUUUUGAUGGGGAAAACUAACCCCGUAAAAUUCAACCCUCCACCCCAACCCCUGAGGGCGUGAGGGGUAGUAACUUUGAAAUCUCAAAUGGAAACCACUAUUUUUUAUUGCAGAUUCAAAUUGUCCAUGAGAAAAUACACAAGUUUUAUUCGAAAUUUCUAUUUCAACGGAUACAAAUGGCGCUGUAAUUAUUGAAAAUCAAAUUUUUCAUGAAGUAGUACGUGUUAAACGGUUCCAAGAGUACGAUUUGGAAACUAUCGGAUUGCUUGUUUUUGUGUGAUCUUUCACAUCAAGUUCUCAAAAUGGUGACCUUCCACUUCGAUGCAUUUGUUGAUCCGCGCUUCGAAUGAUUGUACACAACUGAGAAGUGUCUCUGGUGUUAUUUUCGCACAAGCAUUUCUGAUUCGCUGAAUAAUGUUCUCACGAGUCGUUGGCACUUCUUGAUAAACUUCACCCCUUUGAGAACAUGAUGUGAAAGAUCAUUCAAAAACAAGUAAUCCGAUAGUUUCCAAAUCGUACUCUUGGAACCGUUUAACACGUACUGCUUCAUGAAAAAUUUGAUUUUUAAGAAUUACAGCGCCAUCUGUAUCCGAUCGAAAAAAAAAAUUUCGAAUAAAACUUGUGUAUUUUCUCAUGGACAAUUUGAAUCUGCAAUAAAAAAUAGUGGUUUCCAUUUGAGAUUUCAAAGUUACUACCCCUCACGCCCUCAGGGGUUGGGGUGGAGGGUUGAAUUUUACGGGGUUAGUUUUCCCCAUCAAAAUCAAACAGUUUUAGUCUCGAACAUUUCUUUGUACAAUGCGUAUUUCUUGAGAUAUUUUGAUG